RNAcentral lists this transfer RNA (88 nucleotides) under Chloroflexota bacterium. Its description in RNAcentral is "Chloroflexi bacterium tRNA-Ser". It matches the Rfam family "tRNA". From Rfam's summary of the family: Transfer RNA (tRNA) molecules are approximately 80 nucleotides in length. The record is from RNAcentral. Lineage: Bacteria; Bacillati; Chloroflexota.
GGAGAGGUGGCCGAGUGGUUUAAGGCGAUGGUCUUGAAAACCAUUGUACGGUAUCGCCGUACCGCAGGUUCGAAUCCUGUCCUCUCCG